GACGAACGCUGGCGGCGUGCUUAACACAUGCAAGUCGAACGGAAAGGCCCUGCUUUUGUGGGGUGCUCGAGUGGCGAACGGGUGAGUAACACGUGAGUAACCUGCCCUUGACUUUGGGAUAACUUCAGGAAACUGGGGCUAAUACCGGAUAGGAGCUCCUGCUGCAUGGUGGGGGUUGGAAAGUUUCGGCGGUUGGGGAUGGACUCGCGGCUUAUCAGCUUGUUGGUGGGGUAGUGGCUUACCAAGGCUUUGACGGGUAGCCGGCCUGAGAGGGUGACCGGCCACAUUGGGACUGAGAUACGGCCCAGACUCCUACGGGAGGCAGCAGUGGGGAAUAUUGCACAAUGGGCGGAAGCCUGAUGCAGCAACGCCGCGUGCGGGAUGACGGCCUUCGGGUUGUAAACCGCUUUCGCCUGUGGCGAAGCGUGAGUGACGGUAAUGGGUAAAGAAGCACCGGCUAACUACG
This 466-nucleotide ribosomal RNA is filed under the name uncultured bacterium. RNAcentral's name for it is "partial 16S ribosomal RNA". It matches the Rfam family "Bacterial small subunit ribosomal RNA", at positions 28 to 505 of the family's 1533-position model. The record is from RNAcentral.